CUGACGGCACCCAUUCACUGCAGAGGAUCUAUUGGUGAGACGGUGAAGGAAUGACACAUUUCUACAAAUCUGAUGAAGAAAUAAACUCAUCCUAAUCUUGGACGUCUGAGCACAUUUUCAGCAAAUGACCAUUUUUGUGUGAACUUUCCCUUUAAGGCCACUGAAAAUGUGUUUGUAGACUUUGAUUUCUGUUCAAAAUGAGUGUCGUAACACAGUGAGAGUGAAAUUACCGUGGUGUCAUAUUCACACGCUUGUCUGCAGUGUCUCAUCAAAGUUCAUUUUAGAUUCUGUCUGGAAAAUCAGAGAACAUUCAGAAUGAGUUUCCAGGUCUGUUUUCUAGACAAACGAACAGGGACUAAAAUAAAAGUGUCUGUGGCGAACUCUGAGGAGGAAUUCAGAAACAACACAGUUGAAGAGAAAAAAAAAGAAAACUCUUGUCUGAAGACAGCAGAUAUAAACACUGUGGACUUUACUGCAAUCACAAGCUUCUGUUUCAUGAUCGUACACUUGGCUCUCAUGACAUUAAACACAAUGAUCAUAUUGUGAUUGAACCACCAAUGCAUCCACAAUCUCUCUCAUCUGAAGAUAAAUGUUAAGGUGAAUUCAUAUCCAGGACUAAAUCUAUGGAGAAAUUAACUCUGAACAUGUAAAUGCAUUUGAUGCACACUGAAUUCAGAGGAAAUGUAAAACAUGUAUUAAUUAGUUUAGUGCAUCAUUAAUGAAACCACUUCACAUGAUCCACAGAGGAUUAUUAAUACGUUCAUAUUGAGUAUUGAUCAGAUAAAGUGUAAUAUUGAUCUAAUUUAAUAUUAAUAUAUUAUUAAUAAUAAUAAUAUUAAUAUAAAACACAGUAGUAUAUGAUGGAGUUUGUGUUUUCAUGUGUCUCAUGUCAUGUCUCUACAUUCAUAUGCAAAAAUUGUACAUUAUCCUUUCUUUUGUUUACGUUUAUUAAAUCAAACAUGCCCUUGACUAUUUUUAUUUUGUGAAAAGUCUGAUUUCAGUAAUCAGCUGAGAAGCUUAAAAGUAGAGACAAUACAGGAAUAAAAUAUGUAACAAUAAUUUGUAAAGCCAAGAUAUACAAUUCUAUAUAAAUUGUAUUGUUUAUUUUUUAAAUUAUUAGUUUUUUUUUUUUUCAAAACAAGGCAACUAAUUAAUAUUCAGCACACCUCUACCAUAGUAUUUUCUAACCAUUCAGUUAGAUGAUCCAGUGGUAUUUUAUAUUACAUUGUUUCUUGACCUUGAUAGUAAACUACUCAACAGUAAGGAAUUUUUAUGCAAUGUAUACAGAAUAAAAAGAAAUAAACAUUUUAGUAAGGAAGCAGAUUAUGACUUUAUUAUGAAAGGUUAUUCUUUAUAAAUGUCAGGGUACACUCUUAAAAAUACAGUUUUUUUUAUUGGCAUCAGUGGUUGAACAAUCCUUGAACAUCCAUGGAAUCUUUCAAAUGCAGAAAAGGCUCUUUAGAGUCGAAGAAGGUUCUUAAAAUGUUUUCAAAAUGGUUCUUUUAGGAACUGAAAGGUUCCAAAAUGGUGCUGCAGAAACGUUUUUGGAACCUUUAUUUUUUAAGAGUUUAGAGCCAUAUUUUUGACCGGAACGAAAAUGAGGUUGUGAUGGAUUUGUUUAACAACACACUGAUUGUUCAGCUAAUGAAAUGUCUUUGUGAAUAAAACUCUCAGUAAACAAACCUCCAUAAAACUGUUUUAAAAAGUUGUGAGCUGUGAAAAUGACAUGUAUAUAAUCAGGGGAAGAGUUUGUGGUAAGAAGGCAAUAAGCCAAAAGUCUUAGGCCACUAGUAUUUUCAUCAGCUAAAAAUGGUUUAAAGUCAGUUAAAGUCAGUCUUUUGCUGUAGUGUGUCAGACAUCAGUCUACAUUUCUAAAUAUUCAUUUUGCCAUUAAUUAUAAUAAUCCAGUGAUUUUUGUAUGGAGCACAGGCUGUUGUCAGACUCCUUGUGCAAACAGAGAUCUGAUCUCUCCAUCAUUCAGUCCAGUCUGUCUUAAGAAACAGAAAAACAGAGACAGACUAAAUCUAGAAGAACUGUGGCAACAUCUCCAAGAUGCUUUAAGAGACCUACACCUACAAAACUACAGUACUGUUAACAUUUUUAGGCAGUUAGGCACAUAAAAUGAAGAUGCUGUCAAAAACAAUGUCACAAAUAGAUUUUCUUUAUCAAUUGUCAGACCCUUUGGACUGUUUUGUGUGUGUUGUUCCCCAGCGUUGCCCAUAUUUGGACUUUCCGUUUCCCUUUUCAAUUAUUACAUCCCUGUGUCAUAGUUCACCUGUCUCCCCCUGAUUGGUUGUUUCAGUGUAUUUAAGGUUUGGUUGUGUAUGUCAAGUUUGUCGGUGAUUGUAUUGUCAAUUCCUUGAGUUUACGUUGUGGUUGCUAUUCCCUGCUGUUUCCCGUCCGUUCCUGUC
This is a long non-coding RNA of Labeo rohita (rohu), 2411 nucleotides long. RefSeq lists it as uncharacterized. The transcript has 3 exons. NCBI's taxonomy places the organism in Eukaryota, Metazoa, Chordata, Actinopteri, Cypriniformes, Cyprinidae. The record is from RefSeq and is a predicted model, not a curated record.